This 707-nucleotide ribosomal RNA is filed under the name uncultured bacterium. RNAcentral describes it as "bacterial SSU rRNA". It matches the Rfam family "Bacterial small subunit ribosomal RNA", at positions 55 to 757 of the family's 1533-position model. The record is from RNAcentral.
AUGCAAGUCGAACGGUAACAGGUCUUCGGAUGCUGACGAGUGGCGAACGGGUGAGUAAUACAUCGGAACGUGCCCGAGAGUGGGGGAUAACGCAGCGAAAGCUGUGCUAAUACCGCAUACGAUCUACGGAUGAAAGCAGGGGACCCGCAAGGGCCUUGCGCGGACGGAGCGGCCGAUGGCAGAUUAGGUAGUUGGUGGGAUAAAAGCUUACCAAGCCGACGAUCUGUAGCUGGUCUGAGAGGACGACCAGCCACACUGGGACUGAGACACGGCCCAGACUCCUACGGGAGGCAGCAGUGGGGAAUUUUGGACAAUGGGCGAAAGCCUGAUCCAGCAAUGCCGCGUGCAGGAUGAAGGCCUUCGGGUUGUAAACUGCUUUUGUACGGAACGAAAAGACUCCUUCUAAUAAAGGGGGUUCAUGACGGUACCGUAAGAAUAAGCACCGGCUAACUACGUGCCAGCAGCCGCGGUAAUACGUAGGGUGCAAGCGUUAAUCGGAAUUACUGGGCGUAAAGCGUGCGCAGGCGGUUAUGUAAGACAGAUGUGAAAUCCCCGGGCUCAACCUGGGAAUUGCAUUAGUGACUGCAUAGCUAGAGUGCGGCAGAGGGGGAUGGAAUUCCGCGUGUAGCAGUGAAAUGCGUAGAUAUGCGGAGGAACACCGAUGGCGAAGGCAAUCCCCUGGGCCUGCACUGACGCUCAUGCACGAA